UACAGAGGUCCCAAGCGUUGUUCGGAUUCAUUGGGCGUAAAGGGUGCGUAGGUGGCGCGCUAAGUCAGGUGUGAAAUUUCGGAGCUUAACUCCGAAACUGCAUUUGAUACUGGCGUGCUUGAGGACUGGAGAGGAGACUGGAAUUUACGGUGUAGCAGUGAAAUGCGUAGAGAUCGUAAGGAAGACCAGUGGCGAAGGCGGGUCUCUGGACAGUCCCUGACACUGAGGCACGAAGGCCAGGGGAGCAGACGGG
RNAcentral lists this ribosomal RNA (253 nucleotides) under uncultured bacterium. RNAcentral describes it as "partial 16S ribosomal RNA". It matches the Rfam family "Bacterial small subunit ribosomal RNA", at positions 524 to 776 of the family's 1533-position model. The record is from RNAcentral.